RNAcentral lists this ribosomal RNA (464 nucleotides) under Salmonella enterica subsp. enterica. RNAcentral describes it as "bacterial SSU rRNA". It matches the Rfam family "Bacterial small subunit ribosomal RNA", at positions 335 to 795 of the family's 1533-position model. The record is from RNAcentral. Lineage: Bacteria; Pseudomonadati; Pseudomonadota; Gammaproteobacteria; Enterobacterales; Enterobacteriaceae.
CACCUACGGGAGGCAGCAGUCGAGAAUUUUUCUCAAUGGGCGAAAGCCUGAAGGAGCGACGCCGCGUGGGGGAUGAAUGGCUUCGGCCCGUAAACCCCUGUCAUUUGCGAACAAGUUAUUUUACCUAACACAAAGUAUUGAUUGUAGCGGAAGAGGAAGGGACGGCUAACUCUGUGCCAGCAGCCGCGGUAAUACAGAGGUCCCAAGCGUUGUUCGGAUUCACUGGGCGUAAAGGGUGCGUAGGUGGUGAGGUAAGUCUGAUGUGAAAUCUCCGGGCUCAACCCGGAAACUGCAUUGGAUACUAUCUUGCUCGAGGGUUGGAGGGGGGACUGGAAUACUUGGUGUAGCAGUGAAAUGCGUAGAUAUCAAGUGGAACACCAGUGGCGAAGGCGAGUCCCUGGACAACUCCUGACGCUGAGGCACGAAAGCCAGGGGAGCAAACGGGAUUAGAUACCCUUGUAGUC